This 76-nucleotide small RNA is filed under the name Xanthomonas sp. NCPPB 1560. RNAcentral's name for it is "sX9 sRNA". It matches the Rfam family "Xanthomonas sRNA sX9". Lineage: Bacteria; Pseudomonadati; Pseudomonadota; Gammaproteobacteria; Lysobacterales; Lysobacteraceae. RNAcentral also lists the same sequence under 4 other names. The record is from RNAcentral.
AUGCACCACUCGUACACUCCGGUUUUUAGCGCACCAUCCACACCGCUUGACAACUGCUCGCUACGUUCUGUUGGCC